Molecule: ribosomal RNA, 406 nt
Filed under: uncultured bacterium
Lineage: Bacteria
Description: partial 16S ribosomal RNA
Rfam family: Bacterial small subunit ribosomal RNA
Source: RNAcentral
AUUGAACGCUGGCGGCAGGCUUAACACAUGCAAGUCGAACGAGUGGCGGACGGGUGAGUAAUGCUUGGGAAUCUGCCUUAUGGAGGGGGAUAACUACGGGAAACGGUAGCUAAUACCGCGUACCAUAGGAUGAGCCCAGAUGGGAUUAGGUAGUUGGUGGGGUAAAGGCUCACCAAGCCGACGAUCCCUAGCUGGUCUGAGAGGAUGACAAUGCACAAUGGGACUGAGACACGGCCCAGACUCCUACGGGAGGCAGAAGUGGGGAAUAUUGCGCAAUGGGGGCAAGCCUGAGGCAGCCAUGCCGCGUGAAUGAAGAAGGCCUUCGGGUUGUAAAGUACUUUCAGUGGGGAGGCGUUACCGGCAGAAGAAGCACCGGCUAACUCCGUGCCAGCAGCCGCGGUAAUUC